RNAcentral lists this ribosomal RNA (484 nucleotides) under uncultured bacterium. Its description in RNAcentral is "partial 16S ribosomal RNA". It matches the Rfam family "Bacterial small subunit ribosomal RNA", at positions 30 to 507 of the family's 1533-position model. The record is from RNAcentral.
AUUGAACGCUGGCGGCAGGCCUAACACAUGCAAGUCGAGCGGAUGAAGGGAGCUUGCUCGUGGAUUCAGCGGCGGACGGGUGAGUAAUGCCUAGGAAUCUGCCUGGCAGUGGGGGAUAACGUCCGGAAACGGGCGCUAAUACCGCAUACGUCCUGAGGGAGAAAGUGGGGGAUCUUCGGACCUCACGCUAUCAGAUGAGCCUAGGUCGGGUUAGCUAGUUGGUGGGGUAAAGGCCUACCAAGGCGACGAUCCGUAACUGGUCUGAGAGGAUGAUCAGUCACACUGGAACUGAGACACGGUCCAGACUCCUACGGGAGGCAGCAGUGGGGAAUAUUGGACAAUGGGCGAAAGCCUGAUCCAGCCAUGCCGCGUGUGUGAAGAAGGUCUUCGGAUUGUAAAGCACUUUAAGUUGGGAGGAAGGGCAGUAAGUUAAUACCUUGCUGUUUUGACGUUACCAACAGAAUAAGCACCGGCUAACUUCGUG